UACGUAGGUCCCGAGCGUUAUCCGGAUUUAUUGGGCGUAAAGCGAGCGCAGGUGGUUUAUUAAGUCUGGUGUAAAAGGCAGUGGCUCAACCAUUGUAUGCAUUGGAAACUGGUAGACUUGAGUGCAGGAGAGGAGAGUGGAAUUCCAUGUGUAGCGGUGGAAUGCGUAGAUAUAUGGAGGAACACCGGUGGCGAAAGCGGCUCUCUGGCCUGUAACUGACACUGAGGCUCGAAAGCGUGGGGAGCAAACAGG
RNAcentral lists this ribosomal RNA (252 nucleotides) under uncultured bacterium. Its description in RNAcentral is "partial 16S ribosomal RNA". It matches the Rfam family "Bacterial small subunit ribosomal RNA", at positions 524 to 776 of the family's 1533-position model. The record is from RNAcentral.